This 845-nucleotide unclassified non-coding RNA is filed under the name Hevea brasiliensis (rubber tree). The record is from RNAcentral. Lineage: Eukaryota; Viridiplantae; Streptophyta; Magnoliopsida; Malpighiales; Euphorbiaceae.
CUGAAACUUCAGAUCCUUCUGCCUAUAAGACAAGUAACAUGAAGAACGUAUCAAGUCUCAUAUGUUAAUAAAGGGACUAGCAUUGUGGGGUUAUUUUGUGCUAUAGCUUCCAAGUUUUUAUCCUUACUUGUAAAAUUUGAACACUUCUUUCUAGUUCAGCUAUAUACUGAAGUUUUCGCAGACGGGCACUUCGACCAAAUUGCCUGCAUUAAUAAGGAUUAUAGAUAAUUGCAUCAAUAACAACAUACAACUUGCAAAACUUCAAGACUUGUUCAAAGUCUUACUGUUUGGAACGCCUUGAAUCAGUUUUGGAGGCAGUAGCAGUUUUUGAGGUAUCACUUCCGAUGACAUUUGAACCUUCUUGAUUUUUCUUUACUUUGGAUGAACCAUUUCUUCCUGAUUUUUGUGGAAAAGAGGAUUCAAAAAUCUGAUCUAUAGUGGUAUCCUUUGAAGGUGGAAGGCAAUCUAAGCUUGUUAAAGAUGAUCCCAAGAGUGCAUCAGAGUCACUUGAAGAUCGGUGAUGCCCUGUACAUAGGGGUGAUUCUGGCUCACUAAGGAGCUCAUCAAGCCAAGAAGGUUGCUCUAAAAGAUAGCCAUCAGAUGAGCCACGAUAAUGGUGCACCUCUCCUUCUACAAGCUUGUUGGAGGUUUUUGAGUCUAUAAUAGGGCUAGAAAUGAAAUCAGAAUGGCAUUGAAAAAUCACUUUGAAAGGGCUUCUUGGAGGUAACAUUGGAUUUUGUCCUCUCAUCACUGAUGGCCCAUUGGCAUUUUCCAUACCUUAAAUGAAAAUAGCCUGCAAAAAAAUAAUCAUGAUCAAAUUGAGCAUGAUUAAAACACAUUUUAAG